Molecule: transfer RNA, 69 nt
Filed under: Tolypeutes matacus
Lineage: Eukaryota; Metazoa; Chordata; Mammalia; Cingulata; Chlamyphoridae
Description: tRNA-Arg
Rfam family: tRNA
About the family: Transfer RNA (tRNA) molecules are approximately 80 nucleotides in length.
Source: RNAcentral
UGUUAGCUAGUUUAACUAAAAACAACUGAUUUCGACUCAGUAGACUAUGAUUAAACUCAUAGCUACCAC